CAGGGUCUGACGACUGCCCAAACCAAACCGUGAACCAUUCCAUACCAAACUUGCUACGGCGGGCCGCUCGCUGGGGGAGCCUGGGCCGUCAAGGUGGUCUGCCGAAGCAAACAAACAAAACUACUUUUGACACAUUACCUCUGAGAACUUUCUGAAUUGAGAAAAAUCA
RNAcentral lists this unclassified non-coding RNA (169 nucleotides) under uncultured Sordariales. RNAcentral's name for it is "sequence contains ITS1". Lineage: Eukaryota; Fungi; Ascomycota; Sordariomycetes; Sordariales. The record is from RNAcentral.